UACGUAGGGUGCAAGCGUUGUCCGGAAUUAUUGGGCGUAAAGAGCUCGUAGGCGGUCUGUUACGUCGGCUGUGAAAACCUGGGGCUCAACUCCGGGCCUGCAGCCGAUACGGGCAGACUAGAGUUCGGCAGGGGAGGCUGGAAUUCCUGGUGUAGCGGUGGAAUGCGCAGAUAUCAGGAGGAACACCGGUGGCGAAGGCGGGUCUCUGGGCAGUAACUGACGCUGAGGAGCGAAAGCGUGGGGAGCGAACAGG
RNAcentral lists this ribosomal RNA (253 nucleotides) under uncultured bacterium. Its description in RNAcentral is "partial 16S ribosomal RNA". It matches the Rfam family "Bacterial small subunit ribosomal RNA", at positions 524 to 776 of the family's 1533-position model. The record is from RNAcentral.